RNAcentral lists this unclassified non-coding RNA (278 nucleotides) under Hevea brasiliensis (rubber tree). The record is from RNAcentral. Lineage: Eukaryota; Viridiplantae; Streptophyta; Magnoliopsida; Malpighiales; Euphorbiaceae.
GUUGCUACUUUGGGUAAUGUGAUGUGGUUUAACCCUAGAUCUCUUUGCUCCCCCUUGUGAUCUGAAUAUCAUUUCAUUGAUCGUAGUGCUUUGUGAUAUGGGUUAUGACGAUGCAUGAUUUAGAUCUCCAAAAUUGCUGAUUGUUUGAAAUCAAAGAUCCAAUAGUACUAGGUGAUUCAAUGUUUGUGGGUAUAUAGGGUUUGGUAAACUUAUUAUGAUAGUAGAGUUGUUACUAGCAACAAUUAAGUUCAACAACUCUUGAUUAUGGUAGAUUGGAG